GACGAACGCUGGCGGCGUGCUUAACACAUGCAAGUCGAACGAAAAGAGGGAAAGAGCUUGCUCUUUCCGGAAUUGAGUGGCAAACGGGUGAGUAACACGUAAACAACCUGCCUUCAGGAUGGGGACAACAGACGGAAACGACUGCUAAUACCGAAUAAGUUCCAAGAGCCGCAUGGCCCAUGGAAGAAAAGGUGGCCUCUACCUGUAAGCUAUCGCCUGAAGAGGGGUUUGCGUCUGAUUAGCUGGUUGGAGGGGUAACGGCCCACCAAGGCGACGAUCAGUAGCCGGUCUGAGAGGAUGAACGGCCACACUGGAACUGAGACACGGUCCAGACUCCUACGGGAGGCAGCAGUGGGGAAUCUUCCGCAAUGGGCGAAAGCCUGACGGAGCAACGCCGCGUGAGUGAUGACGGCCUUCGGGUUGUAAAACUCUGUGAUCCGGGACGAAAAGGCAGAGUGCGAAGAACAAACUGCAUUGACGGUACCGGAAAAGCAAGCCACGGCUAACUACG
This 511-nucleotide ribosomal RNA is filed under the name uncultured bacterium. RNAcentral's name for it is "partial 16S ribosomal RNA". It matches the Rfam family "Bacterial small subunit ribosomal RNA", at positions 28 to 505 of the family's 1533-position model. The record is from RNAcentral.